This 253-nucleotide ribosomal RNA is filed under the name uncultured bacterium. RNAcentral describes it as "partial 16S ribosomal RNA". It matches the Rfam family "Bacterial small subunit ribosomal RNA", at positions 524 to 776 of the family's 1533-position model. The record is from RNAcentral.
UACGUAGGGGGCAAGCGUUGUCCGGAAUUAUUGGGCGUAAAGAGCGCGUAGGCGGUCCGAUAAGUCGGCUGUGAAAGUCAAGGGCUCAACCCUUGGAAGCCGGCCGAUACUGUCGGACUAGAGUCCGGAAGAGGCGAGUGGAAUUCCCGGUGUAGCGGUGAAAUGCGCAGAUAUCGAGAGGAACACCGGCGGCGAAGGCGGCCAACUGGACGAAUACUGACGCUGAGACACGAAAGCGUGGGGAGCAAACAGG